AAAAGAAUAAAAACAAAACCCAGACAACACAAUUUCAGAAAACGAUUAACAGAACCAUCGAUUCUUCUUCUUCCGCCGUCUCAUUCGUCGCUUCUCCACUCACAAUGGCAACCCCUGACACUACAACCGCCACCACAACCACCACCAACACAACCGAUGAAAACCCUCUCGAAACCCUAGACUCCACUUCACCCAAACCCGACUCAGAUCCCACCCUCGCCGACACAGACGCCGACAAAUCCAAAGACACUCCCUCUGCUGAACCCGAAACCGACGCUCCACUUUCCGAUGUUCAGAAAAAGAUGCGUCGCGCCGAACGAUUCGGUAUCACUGUCCAGUUAUCAGAGAAAGAGAAACGCAAUUCAAGAGCCGAAAGGUUUGGCACUGCUUCUGUAUUACAAGGACCUGAAGGAUCAAAAGCAGAAGAUCUGAAGAGGAAAGCUAGGGCAGAAAGGUUUGGAAUGCCUACUCCUACUACAGCUGCUGAUGAGGAUGCAAAGAAGAAAGCUCGUCUUGCUAGGUUUAAACCCGGUUCCAAGACUGAUCCUGCUGAGGAAGAUAAAAAGAAAGCAAGAGCACUUAGGUUUUCGAAUUCAUCAUCAACUACACUCUCUCAAGUCAAUCCUGAGGCAAACAUUGAGCCUGUAAGUCCCUUUGGUUUAUUAGGAAGUUGCAAUAUUUACUGUUAUAGAAAGAUGGAAUAAAUUUUGCUUUUGUUUCUUUGAUUCUUAUGCUUGUUCUGUUUUUUAUACUAUAAGGCGGCUAUCACCGGCAAUGCUGGAGGAGGUACCUGAUUUUAAAGCUUGGUGCUUUUGUUGUAGGAUUUUUUUUCUUAUUUUGGUAGUUUUUAGCAUUUCCAUAUUCACAGAGUGGCUUCCGCACCAUAUCUACUUUUGAACUGUUAGUCCCCAGCAGCGUCUAUCUUUCAUUGUUUACUGAUACCUUCCUCCAACCCGUGGAUAGAUUCAAGUGGUCAGAAGUUCCCUGCUUUUGUUGUCUCAGUAUUGGCUCACUAGGUGACACUUUUGGGUAAUUCUUGGCCGUUUUUAUAGUGUAACAUAUCUUAAAAUCAGCAAGGAUUUGAAUUUUAGAAACUACAGCCUAAAUUUUUUUAGAUGAAUGGAGUUAUUUUUUGGAAAGGAACUUUUUUGUUUAUAAUUAUCUACUGCUAGUUAAAUGCUCAUUAUCAUUGUGCCAAAGGGUAGUGCCGGAUUGGUUUUACUGAUCCAACUUCAUGCUGAUCCAGUAUUUUGUAAUAUUAGCUAGGUUUUGUUGCUUAGCGUGUCUUUGAGGAAUGAUGAAUAACUGAGGAAAUAGGUCAUCUAUUACAGAAUAGCUUGCAUAUAGGAUGAACUUUUUUCUGGUUAAUGCAUGACUUCUAUUUUGGGGAGAGGUGGAUAAAGUUAGAUUACUUCAUCUUUUAUGGGUAAUAUUGUUCUGUCAAGUUUUUUUCUGAAUGGUUCUUGGUCUAAUUUCUCACUAAGCUGAAUGUGAAAGGAUAGAGUGAACAUGGAACUACUGAUAAUGGCUGCAUUUUUACUUGCAUCUGAAAUUGCUUUCCCCACCCCCUUUGUUGUUCUGAGUUUUUCGUUGAUGUGUGUUUAUGCCUAUUCACUUUGAAUCUGAAUCAUGUUAGUUGAAAAGGGAUCAUACUAUGUGUUGGUGCUUGUAGAAAUGCAUCAUGUUUGGUGUAAAACUAUUAUUCAGCCUAUGUGGAUCAGUCUGAAUGUUGGAGGCUAUGUUUCCGAUACUAUCUUCUGGCACUAGCUUAUGCAGUAAUCUGAAUUUUUUAAAUGAGAACUUAAAAUGUGACUGAACACUGUUGCUUUUUUACAUAGGUGCUUAAACUAAGUUUUUCAGUAAGGCUGUAGCUUCUAAUUUUUUCACCUUUGCUGUUAUUUUAAGAUAAGUGAACGCUUUGAAGUUGUUUUUAUUAAGGAAUAGAAUUGUAUAUCUGUAGUGUUGGAUGUGGAGAAAAUUCUGUACUCUUAUUACUGAAAUAGUACCUUGUAAUCUAUACCAAUGAUUGGAGAAUAGAAUAUACUCUGAUUCUGGGGUUAAUAUUUUUGCUUGUUAGUACAGUUGAAUGGAAGGACCAUUAUUUCAUGCAAA
Molecule: RNA transcript, 2112 nt
Organism: Trifolium pratense (red clover)
Lineage: Eukaryota; Viridiplantae; Streptophyta; Magnoliopsida; Fabales; Fabaceae
Gene name: protein MODIFIER OF SNC1 11
Exons: 5
Source: RefSeq, a predicted model, not a curated record